This 426-nucleotide ribosomal RNA is filed under the name uncultured bacterium. RNAcentral describes it as "bacterial SSU rRNA". It matches the Rfam family "Bacterial small subunit ribosomal RNA", at positions 355 to 775 of the family's 1533-position model. The record is from RNAcentral.
UCGAGAAUCUUCGGCAAUGGGGGAAACCCUGACCGAGCGACGCCGCGUGCGAGAUGAAGGCCUUCGGGUUGUAAAUCGCUGUCAGAGGGGAGGAAAUGCCGGUGGGUUCUCCCACCGGUUUGACCUAUCCUCAGAGGAAGGACGGGCUAAGUUCGUGCCAGCAGCCGCGGUAAGACGAACCGUCCAAACGUUAUUCGGAAUCACUGGGCUUAAAGGGUGCGUAGGCGGUCCGGCAAGUUGGGUGUGGAAGCCCUCGGCUCAACCGAGGAACUGCGCCCAAAACUGCCGGGCUUGAGGGAGACAUAGGUGAGCGGAACUUAGGGUGGAGCGGUGAAAUGCGUUGAGAUCCUAAGGAACACCAGUAGCGAAAGCGGCUCACUGGGUCUCUUCUGACGCUGAGUGCACGAAAGCCAGGGGAGCGAAGAG